CUUUGUUCUUAAAGGAGUGCUCAACGAGACUGUCUUCGAUCAUCUUCUCUAACAUCUUCUUUUCCUUCUCCUGCCAGAUCUCCACCUGAUGCCUCCCCAAAAGGCCUCCACCAGGUGAUCCACGACCUCCGCGGCCAGAUCUCAACGAGCUCCGCAAGCUCCGACCUCGUCUCCAGUUUUUCAAGCUCCUCCUCCUCCGGCAAUGGC
Molecule: long non-coding RNA, 207 nt
Filed under: Elaeis guineensis (African oil palm)
Lineage: Eukaryota; Viridiplantae; Streptophyta; Magnoliopsida; Arecales; Arecaceae
Description: long non-coding RNA (EGUI_LNC060573)
Source: RNAcentral